This is a long non-coding RNA of Sus scrofa (pig), 3417 nucleotides long. RefSeq lists it as uncharacterized. The record is from RefSeq and is a predicted model, not a curated record. NCBI's taxonomy places the organism in Eukaryota, Metazoa, Chordata, Mammalia, Artiodactyla, Suidae.
ACGCUCACUCAGCCGCCGAGCUCCUCAGCGUCUCGGGCCCGCGACCGCUGCCGCGAGGAGCGUGGGGCACCGGGACUUGGGGUCUCGCGGUUCCCCGGAAUGCAAGAGACACGCCUAUCUCUGGGCCGCGCGGUCGCGGCUCUCCAAGCUGGGCCGCCCCAGCCCCAGCCUGCCCGCCCGCUCCUCGGGAACCAGCCCCUCAGGCGCGGGACCCCGCGCUGGGUCUACUCUUCGCUUUCGCGUGGCGGCCGCCAGGUGGCGCCGAAGGCAGCCGCUCCAGCCUCGGAAACAGGGAUGGUCCAUCAAGGCCUUGAGGGUGAUGGGGGCUUGCCCCCCUGUCUCUCCAAAACGGGCUGUGCCACGCAGGCACCUCAUCAGACUUCUCUGGUCGUGAGGUCCUAGGCCCAGACCACAGACAUAAGGGAGGUCAGGAACAGCUUAUACCCUGAGGUGGUCAUAAACCAGUGAUAGCUUAGAAGGUGAAAGGGCUGUUCUAGAAGCUGGCCCAGCAGAGAUCUCCUCUGCUGGCUUCUGCUCGCUUUGCAGUGGCAUCAGUGGGGCAAUAACUGUUGGGGGAUCCAUGGCAGCAGCGGACCACUCCAGAGAGCCAGGAUUAAGGGUGCAGGUGUCAGGAGAUCCACAGCGUCCUGGAGCAAGCCCUGGACGGGGUUCUCACUCAGAGUUCUGCCGACUGGUGGGGAGACCUCUGGAGGGACAACACUGCUCGUCUUGGCUUCAGUUUCCCCACGUCCAAAAUGGUGGAUUGGACUUGAAGGUUACCAGCCAGCCACCGAGAGCCAUCCCAAAGCAGUUUCCUUGAAUGACCUUGGCUGCGACCCAGGGACACCAAGCAUCAAACCCAGGAGUUGGUUGCAGAGCCUGGAAGGACCUGUCUGGGCUGGCUGCAGGAUUAACUUUGUGGCCGACGGUCCAGCAGCUAGAGCCCCAAGAGAACACUGUGAACCAAGCAUCCUACAAGGUCAAGCUCUGCAAUCUGUGAAUUCUGCUUCCGGGUGAAUCAAACCAGAGCCGAGGGGGAGGGGAAACAGCAACCGGGAACCGGAAAAUGGGCCCGUUGCCUUGAUGACUAAGGCGAACAUGUGAAGACUUGCACUCUGCAGGCUUUGUUGGAACACCUGCAAGGGAGGUUUUGGAAUUGUUUGGGUGAGGUGUGUGUUAUCCCAGAAGCUGUUUGGUAAGAUGCAAGACUCUCCAACCCCUAAGUAUGUGAGAGAGAUGCAAGGUUUUGUAAGGAUUUGGUAGGUUUAGGGGACUUUUAUUUUAUUGGCUCAGUGCCUCCAUCCCUAUGCUGCCAGGUAAGCAAAGGCAUGUGUGGGACAGGGAAAUCAGCAGCAGGGCACAUUUUUUUUCUCUUUAGGGCUGCACCUGUGGCAUAUGGAAGUUCCCAGGCUAGGGGUCGAAUCAGAGCUGUAGCUGAGGCCUACACCACAGCUCACAGCAAUGCCGGAUCCUUAAUCCACCAAGCAAGGCCAGGGAUCAAACCCCCAUCCUCAUGGAUACGAUGUUGGGUUCUUAACCUGCUGAGCCACAACAGGAACUCCAGAAAGCACUUUUGAGAAGGCAAAAUACUAGUAAAGUAGCUCUAAAUAUCCCACAAGCAGGGCUGUCAUCUGAGUUAGAUGUGUCCGUGACUCCAGAAAGUAUGGCUCAGACACUGGCAGAGGUAGAAGGGGAGAGUGCCCCUAGGAUUUUGGUUCCAGCUCUGGAAGGGGACAGAAACCCCAUAUAACCCCACAGAGCAUCAGCUCCGAGCUGUAUCCAUGUGCUCCUUCAGAUGGAGCUCUCAGAAGGGACUAAACUACAGCAACCACCAGGCUGACCUCGGAGUGGUUUUGACUGGUGAUCACUCAUGAGCCUUGGUUGUUAGCCCUUCAGGAAGCCAAGGGGUACAUGAUUCAUGACUGGGCUCCUGUGGGGUCAGGAUUUGUGGAGGGACAUUCAGGUUUGUCUGGAAGAACCUGAGGCCAUCCUCUGUUUUCCACAUCCCAGCUCAUGAGGCACUGAUACCCCCUGGCAGUCAGGAAGCUGAUGCCCUAGAUUGGAUCUGAGCCCUAGCAACAGACACUUCCAUAGAUACAGCAGAUUGGGUACCUGGGCCACUGCAGUGCCUAGGUUGGGACAGUGUGUUAUCCAGGAUGCUGGAUUGACCUUGGAAUACAGUGACUUGGUUGAUGCAAUAACAGUAUGUCCUGUGAGUUCUAAACAACACCCAAGGCAAUUGCCAAAAUAGUCUGGGCCUUCCACUGGAGUUCCAACUGGUAAGGGAUUGGCAAGUUGAUUAUACUGGCCUCCUCCCUCUGAGUGAGGGUUCUAAAUAACACACCCUCAGGGAUCAAACCCUGCCACAGUAUUGACCUGAGUGGCUACAGUGACAGUGCCAGGUCCUUCACCUGCUGAGCCACAAGGAAACUCCGAUAUAAGCUUUUAAGAUUUGGCAGGUGAAUGCAGAAAAACCAUUUAUCUUGUGGGCAGCCCAAGACAAGCCUGGUUAGUAAGUUCCCUUGCUCAGUAAAACUGUCACCCCCCAAUCUAGAGUGGUCUGCCUAUUCCUUCAGUCUCUCUGUGCCCUGUGUGUUUUUGAACCAAAAAGAAACAAGUCUAUUGCAUUUAGGUUAUCAAAUCUGUGGGCAUAGAGUUGUACACAGUAUUCAUUUAUUAUCUUUUUAAUGUCCAAGAGAUCUGUAGUGAUGUCUCCUUUUUCAUUUCUGAUAUUAGUAAUCAGUGUCCAUUCUCUUUUUUUCUUAGCCUGGCUAGGGCUUACUGAUUUUAUUGUCUUUUCAAAGAACUAGUUUUUGGUUACAUUGAUUUUGACUGGUUUCCUGUUUUCAAUUUCAUUGAUCUCUGCUCUAAUUCUUAGUACUUCUUUUCUUCUGCUUACUUUCAAUUUUAUUUGUUCUUGGAGUUCUCCUAUGGCUCAGCGGGUUAAGGAUCCGGCAUUGUCACUUGUAUAGCUUAGGUUGCUGCUGUGGUGCGGGUUUGAUCCCUGGCCUGGGAACUUCCACAUGCUACAAGCAUGGCCAAAAAAAUUUCUUUUUGCUCUUCUUUUUCUGGUUUCCUAAGGCGGAAACUUAGAUGAUUGAUUUUAGAUCUUCUUUUAUAUAUGCAUUCAAUAUAAUACAUUUCCCUCUAAGCACUGCUAUCAUUGCAUACCAUAAAUUGAUAAAUUGUGUUUUCAUUUUAUUUCAAAAUAUUUUAAAAUUUCUCUUGAGAUUUCUUCUUCGAUUUUUUUUUUUUUUUUUGCCUUUUCUAGGGCUGCUUUCCGUGGCAUAUGGAGGUUCCCAGGCUAGGGGUCUAAUUGGACCCGUAGCCACCAGCAUACGCUAGAGCCAUAGCACCGAGGAAUCCGAGCCGAAUCUGCAACUUACACCACAGCUCACGGCAAUGCCGGAUCCUUAA